CUAAAUUAAGUAGAGUCCGGUAUUUCUUAAUUUUGGGCUAAAGUAAAUUAAUUGGAAAAGCAGACUCCGGUCUUCUCCACGCUAUCCGCUGAUGAUUGAGAGCUCCACUUCCUCUUCUCUAGCGGAAAGAUUUCCAAAAAGAUCCCCAAAUUUUGUGUGGAAUUCAAUGCUAAUACAACUUGCAGAAAGAAAUCGGAUUGGAAUUUCAGGGGCAAUAGAAGUUAAAUCUAAGGUUCACGUAUAGAAUCUUCGAUGUUUGGAUUCGAUUAAUCCAGUUCAUUUCAAUUCUGAGGUGGGGUAGGAAUCGGUUCUGUUUGGGGCAGUAAUUCGAUGAUAACCCGGUCGAAACUCGUGGAGCAAUUGAGAGAUUACCAGAUCCGAUCGCAGCACAAGUUGCCCACCCUCACCAUCUUCUCUCCGAAACCCUUUCUCUCUACCUGGAGGGAUGUUGUAGUUGCUAUUUUUUUGGCCUUGAUCUUUAUUGUGCUUCUAGUUUCAUCAUAUGUUACACUUCACCUAAGACAUUACUGGAUCUCCCUCAUUCUUGUAUGUCUUGGCAUCCUUCUCCCUGUACGAUUGAGAAUUUCGCGGCAAUCGCUUGCAAGGAAAAGGGAUAGAAGAUUGUUACUACCUCUAUCCAUGUGAAUAUCAUCAACUAUGGCUAGACAAUAGACAAUGUCCACAUGCAUUAAAAUGGGAUUUCGAGUUACACCUCUGGAAACUCAAGGCUGCAACAUCACUAAUGCACACUUGGCAACCUGUUGCAAGAAUAGGGCAUGGCUCCCGUAACUAUUCUUCCCUCAUCCUAAAGCAUAUUGAGAAUUCGCCCGGAGUAAUUCAGAAUUAUUCGAGAAAAAGUUACUCCACUAACUUCAAAUUUUGCAGCUUUUAGACUGUAUUUAUGAAAGAUCUUGGCCACCAAAUUUGGGUUACUAGAUCUUACUCUUAACAUUUUAGUUAUUCAAUGUGCUUUUGCAAUUCAUUAUUUAAA
Molecule: non-coding RNA, 991 nt
Organism: Sesamum indicum (sesame)
Lineage: Eukaryota; Viridiplantae; Streptophyta; Magnoliopsida; Lamiales; Pedaliaceae
Source: RefSeq, a predicted model, not a curated record